AUUGAACGCUGGCGGAAUGCUUUACACAUGCAAGUCAAACGGCAGCACGGACUUCGGUCUGGUGGCGAGUGGCGAACGGGUGAGUAAUGUAUCGGAACGUGCCCAGUCGUGGGGGAUAACGUAGUGAAAAUUACGCUAAUACCGCAUACGAUCUAUGAAUGAAAGCGGGGGAUCGCAAGACCUCGCGCGAUUGGAGCGGCCGAUAUCAGAUUAGGUAGUUGGUGGGGUAAAGGCCCACCAAGCCAACGAUCUGUAGCUGGUCUGAGAGGACGACCAGCCACACUGGAACUGAGACACGGUCCAGACUCCUACGGGAGGCAGCAGUGGGGAAUUUCGGACAAUGGGCGAAAGCCUGAUCCAGCCAUUCCGCGUGCAGGAUGAAGGCCCUCGGGUUGUAAACUGCUUUUGUACAGAACGAAAAGGUUUCUACUAAUACUAGGAGCUCAUGGCGGUACUGUAAGAAUAAGCACCGGCUAACUACGUGCCAGCCGCCGCUGUAA
Molecule: ribosomal RNA, 500 nt
Filed under: uncultured bacterium
Lineage: Bacteria
Description: partial 16S ribosomal RNA
Rfam family: Bacterial small subunit ribosomal RNA
Source: RNAcentral